Molecule: ribosomal RNA, 292 nt
Filed under: Martelella mediterranea
Lineage: Bacteria; Pseudomonadati; Pseudomonadota; Alphaproteobacteria; Hyphomicrobiales; Aurantimonadaceae
Source: RNAcentral
CCUGGUGGUUAUGGCGGGGUCCUUAACACCCGUUCCCAUUCCGAACACGGCCGUGAAAUGCCCCAGCGCUGAUGGUACUUUGUCUUAAGGCACGGGAGAGUAAGUCGCUGCCAGGUCUGCCAAAUGCAGCAUCGUUUAUGUGUUCACGCCAAUGUGGCCUUCGGCCACGCUGCAAACAGCGCGCCAAACUGUCGGCGACGCGCGCUCGCGCUGAGCAAAGAAUAUCUUCUCAAAACAAUCAAACGGCGACUGCCGAUACCAAGCCGCCGUAAAAGGCGGCUUUUUUGUUGCC